UGGGGAAUAUUGGACAAUGGGCGAAAGCCUGAUCCAGCAAUGCCGCGUGUGUGAAGAAGGCCUGCGGGUUGUAAAGCACUUUCAGUAGGGAAGAUAAUGACGGUACCUACAGAAGAAGCACCGGCUAACUCCGUGCCAGCAGCCGCGGUAAUACGGGGGGUGCAAGCGUUAAUCGGAAUUACUGGGCGUAAAGCGCGCGUAGGCGGCUUAUUUAGUCGGAUGUGAAAUCCCCGGGCUCAACCUGGGAAUUGCAUUCGAAACUGGUAGGCUAGAGUAUGGUAGAGGGAAGUGGAAUUUCAGGUGUAGCGGUGAAAUGCGUAGAUAUCUGAAGGAACAUCAGUGGCGAAGGCGACUUCCUGGACCAAUACUGACGCUGAGGUGCGAAAGCGUGGGGAGCAAACA
Molecule: ribosomal RNA, 402 nt
Filed under: uncultured bacterium
Lineage: Bacteria
Description: bacterial SSU rRNA
Rfam family: Bacterial small subunit ribosomal RNA
Source: RNAcentral